CAGCCGCCGCGGUAAUACGAACCGUGCGAACGUUAUUCGGAAUCACUGGGCUUAAAGCGCGUGUAGGUGGGUGGGUACGUCCGUCGUUGAAAGCCCCCAGCUCAACCGGGGAACUGGCGCGGAUACGGCCUACCUGGAGGGACGUAGGGGGACCUGGAACUUCCGGUGGAGCGGUGAAAUGCGUUGAGAUCGGAAGGAACGCCCGUGGCGAAAGCGAGGUCCUGGACGUUUUCUGACACUGAGACGCGAAAGCCAGGGGAGCGAACGGGAUUAGAUACCCGUGUAGUCCCUGUCUCUUAUA
Molecule: ribosomal RNA, 301 nt
Filed under: uncultured bacterium
Lineage: Bacteria
Description: partial 16S ribosomal RNA
Rfam family: Bacterial small subunit ribosomal RNA
Source: RNAcentral